RNAcentral lists this transfer RNA (71 nucleotides) under Leptolyngbyaceae cyanobacterium RM1_1_2. RNAcentral describes it as "tRNA-Gln". It matches the Rfam family "tRNA". Rfam says of the family: Transfer RNA (tRNA) molecules are approximately 80 nucleotides in length. Lineage: Bacteria; Bacillati; Cyanobacteriota; Cyanophyceae; Leptolyngbyales; Leptolyngbyaceae. RNAcentral also lists the same sequence under 2 other names. The record is from RNAcentral.
UGGGGUGUGGCCAAGUGGUAAGGCAGCGGAUUUUGGUUCCGCCAUCCUAGGUUCGAAUCCUAGCACCCCAG